Molecule: non-coding RNA, 72 nt
Organism: Capsicum annuum
Lineage: Eukaryota; Viridiplantae; Streptophyta; Magnoliopsida; Solanales; Solanaceae
Source: Rfam
AGGUCUUUAGCUCAGUGGUAGAGCAUUUAACUAUAGAACAAGAGGUCACCAGUUCGAACCUGGUAGGACCCU